Molecule: long non-coding RNA, 4111 nt
Organism: Amphiprion ocellaris (clown anemonefish)
Lineage: Eukaryota; Metazoa; Chordata; Actinopteri; Pomacentridae
Exons: 3
Source: RefSeq, a predicted model, not a curated record
UUUUUGCAAAGAAGCUACCUUUGACUUGAUAGAUUUGACCUUUUUGAACCUAAUUAUAAUCUUUUUACAUGGUCACCUUUUAACCUCUUAUACUGAUAGCUCCUUCAAUCUAAAUGGCAACUCUCCAUCAUCUCUCAGGCACAUUUGAGCUCUUUUGCUGCCCGAGACAUAUUCAGUAGCCAAAUGACCAAGUGCGUUUGAACCAUUGCAGUAUGGGCACUAUAUUCUGCACACAUUUCUUUCUAUAUGUAGAUAAACCUAUUUAAAUUUAACUUUCAUGUGGAUUUCAUUAUUUUAUUUCAGACUGGAUGUGCUGAAGCACGAGGUCUGAAGAACAAUACAGUGUAACUGUUGAAAUACUGAUUUUACAAGCAAAUCAUAUUCUUAGACUUGAAUUUGUAAAUGCAACUGUAGAUGUCACAAAUUCAAUGGACUAAAUAAAGCAAUAGUUUGGAAUGCAUUUGAUGAGAAGUAUUAAGGAGCAAAAAGUGUAAAUAGGCUAACUCAAGUAAGUUUCUCAAAAUUGUAGGCUAACAUUAACUCUUUUAAAAUACACUAAAAAAUAUAAGAACAAAAUGCAAAAUGAUUAGCAGCAACAACUGCCAGAUAAAAACUGUAAAAUGAAGAUGAAAUAUCCUCAUUCAAAUAAAGCAUAAAAACAACAAAUUUACAGGCGUGUUUUGUAGAGGAACACUGUUAUUUUAUUGAUUUUUCCUGAAGUGUUAAUACCAUAGACUGCAUGUACAGUCUAUGGUUAAUAUGUACUCAAGAUUGUUACACAGUUUUACUAUCAAGGGCCAAUAACUUAUAAAGCACCAUUGAUUCCAAAUUAUUUGUUUAAUUUAUUCAGGAGAAAAUGUACAAUAUCGAUCAGUUAUUUACAAGUAAUUCUGUAGAGCCCUCUGAGAGAAAAUAAAAAGCUAAAACUGUCUUCUUUGGGUUACAUGCCAGCUUGUGGGCUAGAAUAUAAUGUGGAGAGCAGCUCCAGAGUGUACAAAAAUGAGAGUUUUACUUCAAUAAAUAAAUAUUGCAAGUCGAUAUGCCUGCACCGUGGCUUGGUGGUUUGCACUUUUACCCUGCAGCUAGAAGAUCCCUGGUUUGCAUCCUGGCCUUCCUGGGAUCUUUCUGCAUGUUCUCCCUGUGCAUAUGUGGGUUUUCUCCAGGUACUCCAGAUUCCUCCCACAGUCCAAAAAUAUGCUGAGGUUCAUUGAUAAUUCUAAAUUGUCCGUAGGUGUGAAUGUGAGUGUGAUUGUUUGUCUCUCUGUGUAGCCCUGUGAUAGACUGGUGACCCAUCCAGGGUGUCCCCUGCCUUUGCUCUAAGUCAGCUGGGAUAGACUCCAGCACCCCCGGGACCCUAAUGAGGAUUAAGCGGUGUAUAGAUAAUGAAUGGAUGGAUGUAAGUUGAUAUUUAUGGUACAAAGUGUGAAAGCGUAAGCAGCCAUUAGAGUAUAGUGAGCUGCAGCAGCAAGAGUGGGGUGACAGCACAACAUUCCCCAGGCUGCCACCACAGUAGGUGUGGAUAAUUAAGACAAAUAAGCCCAUGUACCACCCAGAAACUGUUGCACAUGCACAGGGCUGACAGAUUCCACCCUGAGGGCAGCAUAUCUUUCUACUCUAUAAACAAUUCAAAAAAACUGAUACAUUAUGUUGGAUAUAAGCAAAAAUGUUUGAUUCAUUUGUAUCCAGAAUGAGAGCGUUCGAGUGAGAUCAUUCACACAUAUAAAACUAAGAAAAUAAAAUAUAUGAGGAAAAAUGUUAAAUUUACAGUAUAGCCAUGAACCUUCAUAUACUGAGGUACAUAUUUCAUUACUUUUUAUUACUUUAUUUGGUUCAGUUUUAUUUAUAUAGCACCAAUUCACAGCAUACGUCAGCUAAAGGCACGUCACAUAGUAAAGGUGAAGACCUUAUACAAGAUGCCGAACAAAUACAAAAACUUUUUUCUGUUCUAAAAUGCCUGUACCAUUUUUAAAGAUUGUCUAUAUCUUUAUUCAUGUAAUUUGUAUUUUAUUUUAUUUUCUAUUCUUUUUUUUUGUCUUUUUGCUGGUUUACUCUGUCAAGUUUAAACCAUUCUAUAACACUACAGUGCACUUAUUGCAGUCAUUUCACUACUCUGCUGUAUUUUUUAUGUUUUCUUUUAUAUGUUUUUUUAUUAUUGUUUUUUACCAUUGCUUGUAAAGAAUUUUUAAUAAAAUCUGUGUCAGAUAAGGUAAUGUAUAAAUAAACUUGCUCACGUACUAAAGCAGACAGAGAACAGGACAGCAGAUAGAAAACAAAAACUGCAUAAAUGAACAUUAAACGAUAGUCGGUGAUGUCAGCAACUGAAGCUCUUUUGUCAUUUUAAGCAAAUUUGUAUGUAAUUGAAGAAUGUAAAAAUAUUCUACAUAAAUAAUAUAGCAUUUUAUUAUUAUAAAAAAUAGGCUUUGGGAUUAUUGCCAAGAAAUAUGUUGUGUUUCUUUGUUAUUAUUCUUUUGAAUAAGUAGACCGAAUGUACUGUUUUGUGUUUUUUGUUGGCAGUUUAGGUGCAGGUGUUUUGUGUGUCCUCUAUUAUGUGUGACUGGUCUGAUCAGCCAGUAUGCACUACCAGUCAAACGUUUGGACACACCUUUUCAUUCAAUGAUUUUUAUUAAUUUGUGUUAUUUUCUACGUUGUAGAUUAAUACUGAAGAUUAACACUUUCUUUUGUUUACAACAUAAUUCCAUAUUUAUUCUUUUAUAGUUUUGAUGUCUUUAGUAUGACUCUACAAUGUACAAAAUAAUAAUUAAAAAAAAACAUUGAAUGAGAAGAUGGUCCGUGUACGGAUCUGGUAAUUGGAUUUUCCGUUCUGAAACGGGUAUUGAAAAACAAAAAAGGAGUGGUUAUUUGAUUUUCGUUUUAAAAUACAAAAAUUAAAAUUGAAAUACAAGGCGUUUUCCUUUUCAUGAUCAAAAAGGGAUAUACGAUAUAUUUUUAAAUGCUUUGAUUUUCGUUUUAUAUUUAGGAUAACAAGAAAGUAAAAUCAGUAAGAGACAGAAACGAAAAAAGGUCAGUUUUUGUCAUUUUCUGAGACCGGAAAUGGUCAUCAGCAAGUGUGGAGCCAAACAGAGUACGGUGCAUAGACUGUACAUACAUUUUUUUCGUUAGUUUUCAUGGUCAAAACGAGAGAUCAGGUGGCCGAUCUUAAAAUAAAUUAAUAUUGAUUUUUUUAUAGAGCGUUAAAGUUUUGCGAAGCCAGGGGGCGGGACUACUUGAUUGACAGUCCGGUCUGGAAUGAUUGACAGGUCCUAUGGAGGAGGCAGCAGAGACUCUGCUCUUCCUCGUUUGGGUUAAUUCUGAUAUAAUAACUGUUGGUUUAUUUAUCGGUGGAGCAGCACAACAUUUUCCACAAACAGUUUUCCUGUCUGUUGGCUUGUUUCAACCAAUUUUCUGCCUUCGGCUGAUUCUACCAGCAGACACUGAAAGGACUCUAAUAGUUCGAGUGAAAGUAGCAGUUCCUCCUUAAGGUCAGAGAUUGCAGCAUCUGAGGGCCUCUUCAAAAGAAGAUGUAGUUGAUGAAGGCGUUCUGGAGCAGGACCAGAAAGACCACGACCAAGCAGCCUUGAGAUCUUAGGCAGCGUCUCCCUCAGGUCCCUCUCUACCUCCCUACACAUCCACCAACCACUGGAACACAUCUCCAAAGUUCUGCCGGGCCAGCUCAGCUUCCCCUCAGAAGAAGUUCCGCCACCUGCCAGAUGAAGGAGCCUGUUGAGAGGCAGCUGGCAUCGUGAUUGGACUGUACUUUGGUCUGUUCCAAUCCAGCUUCAGCUCCAGAGACGGCAGGCAGGACGAGUCAACGGAGGCCGGGUGGACGAAGGCAUGCAGCUGAGUACAAUCCAGAAAACAACAGAGGAGGAGUGCAGUGGCCCAGGGCCACAACACACAGAGUAGCAUCGUAUGUCUCUUAGAAAACAUCAUAGUAGAGCCUUUGGUAUGAAAAAACGCCAUCAUAUACAUCGUAUAUUGUACAAAUAACAAGUCAAAGGAAAGAGACAUACAUUGUAGAAUUGUAGUAAUUGUGGGCUGACUGAUUUACUGAUUAUCAGUAUUUUAUUUUUUUACUGAUUUACGGUAAUAAAUCCAUUUAAAAAUGGCGCUA